GAUGAACGCUGGCGGCGUGCCUAAUACAUGCAAGUCGAGCGAACAGACGAGGAGCUUGCUCCUCUGACGUUAGCGGCGGACGGGUGAGUAACACGUGGAUAACCUACCUAUAAGACUGGGAUAACUUCGGGAAACCGGAGCUAAUACCGGAUAAUAUAUUGAACCGCAUGGUUCAAUAGUGAAAGACGGUUUUGCUGUCACUUAUAGAUGGAUCCGCGCCGCAUUAGCUAGUUGGUAAGGUAACGGCUUACCAAGGCAACGAUGCGUAGCCGACCUGAGAGGGUGAUCAGCCACACUGGAACUGAGACACGGUCCAGACUCCUACGGGAGGCAGCAGUAGGGAAUCUUCCGCAAUGGGCGAAAGCCUGACGGAGCAACGCCGCGUGAGUGAUGAAGGUCUUCGGAUCGUAAAACUCUGUUAUUAGGGAAGAAAAAAUGUGUAAGUAACUAUGCACGUCUUGACGGUACCUAAUCAGAAAGCCACGGCUAACUACGUG
RNAcentral lists this ribosomal RNA (497 nucleotides) under uncultured bacterium. Its description in RNAcentral is "partial 16S ribosomal RNA". It matches the Rfam family "Bacterial small subunit ribosomal RNA", at positions 28 to 507 of the family's 1533-position model. The record is from RNAcentral.